Non-coding RNA from Triticum aestivum (bread wheat), 135 nucleotides. Lineage: Eukaryota; Viridiplantae; Streptophyta; Magnoliopsida; Poales; Poaceae. The record is from Rfam.
UUUGUACUCCCUCCGUCCCAAAAUUCUUGUCUUAAAUUUGUCUAAAUACGGAUGUAUCUAGUUACAUUUUAGUGUUAGAUACAUUCAUAUCUAAAUAAAUGUAAGAAAAGAAUUUUGGGACGGAGGGAAUACUAC